GACGAACGCUGGCGGCGUGCUUAACACAUGCAAGUCGAACGGAAAGGCCCUGCUUUUGUGGGGUGCUCGAGUGGCGAACGGGUGAGUAACACGUGAGUAACCUGCCCUUGACUUUGGGAUAACUUCAGGAAACUGGGGCUAAUACCGGAUGGGAGCUCCUGCUGCAUGGUGGGGGUUGGAAAGUUUCGGCGGUUGGGGAUGGACUCGCGGCUUAUCAGCUUGUUGGUGGGGUAGUGGCUUACCAAGGCUUUGACGGGUAGCCGGCCUGAGAGGGUGACCGGCCACAUUGGGACUGAGAUACGGCCCAGACUCCUACGGGAGGCAGCAGUGGGGAAUAUUGCACAAUGGGCGGAAGCCUGAUGCAGCAACGCCGCGUGCGGGAUGACGGCCUUCGGGUUGUAAACCGCUUUCGCCUGUGACGAAGCGUGAGUGACGGUAAUGGGUAAAGAAGCACCGGCUAACUACGUGCCAGCAGCCGCGGUGAUACGUAGGGUGCGAGCGUUGUCCGGAUUUAUUGGGCGUAAAGGGCUCGUAGGUGGUUGAUCGCGUCUGCCGUGUAAUCUUGGGGCUUAACCCUGAGCGUGCGGUGGGUACGGGCUGGCUUGAGUGCGGUAGGGGAGGCUGGAACUCCUGGUGUAGCGGUGGAAUGCGCAGAUAUCAGGAGGAACACCGGUGGCGAAGGCGGGUCUCUGGGCCGUUACUGACGCUGAGGAGCGAAAGCGUGGGGAGCGAACAGGAUUAGAUACCCUGGUAGUCCACGCUGUAAACGUUGGGCACUAGGUGUGGGGGGUCUUUCCGGGUCUUCCGCGCCGUAGCUAACGCAUUAAGUGCCCCGCCUGGGGAGUACGGCCGCAAGGCUAAAACUCAAAGGAAUUGACGGGGGCCCGCACAAGCGGCGGAGCAUGCGGAUUAAUUCGAUGCAACGCGAAGAACCUUACCAAGGCUUGACAUGUGCCGGUUGUCCUUCGGAGACGGGGGGUCCUCCCUAUUUGUGGGGGUCGGUUCACAGGUGGUGCAUGGUUGUCGUCAGCUCGUGUCGUGAGAUGUUGGGUUAAGUCCCGCAACGAGCGCAACCCUUGUCCCGUGUUGCCAGCACGUUGUGGUGGGGACUCGCGGGAGACUGCCGGGGUUAACUCGGAGGAGGGUGGGGAUGACGUCAAAUCAUCAUGCCCCUCAUGUCUUGGGCUUCACGCAUGCUACAAUGGCCGGUACAGUGGGUUGCGAUGUCGUGAGGCGGAGCGAAUCCCUUAAAGCCGGUCUCAGUUCGGAUCGGUGUCUGCAACUCGACACCGUGAAGCUGGAGUCGCUAGUAAUCGCAGAUCAGCAGCGCUGCGGUGAAUACGUUCUCGGGCCU
This 1354-nucleotide ribosomal RNA is filed under the name uncultured bacterium. RNAcentral describes it as "partial 16S ribosomal RNA". It matches the Rfam family "Bacterial small subunit ribosomal RNA", at positions 28 to 1381 of the family's 1533-position model. The record is from RNAcentral.